UACAGAGGGUGCGAGCGUUAAUCGGAAUGACUGGGCGUAAAGGGUGUGUAGGUGGUUUAAUAAGUUAGGUGUGAAAGUCCUGGGCUUAACCUGGGGAGGUCGCUUAAGACUGUUAAGCUAGAGUACUGUAGAGGAAAGUGGAAUUUCCGGUGUAGCAGUGAAAUGCGUAGAUAUCAGGAGGAACACCAGCGGUGUAGACGGCUUUCUGGACCAUUGCUGACGCUGAGACACGAAAGCGUGGGUAGCAAACAGG
Molecule: ribosomal RNA, 253 nt
Filed under: uncultured bacterium
Lineage: Bacteria
Description: partial 16S ribosomal RNA
Rfam family: Bacterial small subunit ribosomal RNA
Source: RNAcentral